CCUACGGGCGGCUGCAGUGAGGAAUAUUGGUCAAUGGGCGCGAGCCUGAACCAGCCAAGUAGCGUGAAGGAUGACUGCCCUACGGGUUGUAAACUUCUUUUAUAAGGGAAUAAAGUGAGGCACGUGUGCCUUUUUGUAUGUACUUUAUGAAUAAGGAUCGGCUAACUCCGUGCCAGCAGCCGCGGUAAUACGGAGGAUCCGAGCAUUAUACGGAUUUAUUGGGUUUAAAGGGAGCGUAGAUGGGUUGUUAAGUCAGUUGGGAAAGUUUGCGGCUCAACCGUAACAUUGCACUUGAUACUGGCAGUCGUGAGUACAGGUGAGGUAGGCGGAAUUCGUGGUGUAGCGGUGAAAUGCUUAGAUAUCACGAAGAACGCCGAUUGCGAAGGCAGCUUACUAAACUGCCACUGACAUUGAGGCUCGAAAGUGUGGGUAUCAAACAGGAUUAGAUACCCCUGUAGUC
RNAcentral lists this ribosomal RNA (460 nucleotides) under uncultured bacterium. RNAcentral describes it as "partial 16S ribosomal RNA". It matches the Rfam family "Bacterial small subunit ribosomal RNA", at positions 338 to 795 of the family's 1533-position model. The record is from RNAcentral.